RNAcentral lists this ribosomal RNA (484 nucleotides) under uncultured bacterium. Its description in RNAcentral is "partial 16S ribosomal RNA". It matches the Rfam family "Bacterial small subunit ribosomal RNA", at positions 30 to 507 of the family's 1533-position model. The record is from RNAcentral.
AUUGAACGCUGGCGGCAUGCUUUACACAUGCAAGUCGAACGGCAGCGCGGGCUUCGGCCUGGCGGCGAGUUGCGAACGGGUGAGUAAUACAUCGGAACGUGCCCAGUAGUGGGGGAUAGCUCGGCGAAAGCCGGAUUAAUACCGCAUACGACCUGAUGUUGAAAGCGGGGGAUCUUCGGACCUCGCGCUAUUGGAGCGGCCGAUGGCAGAUUAGCUAGUUGGUGUGGUAAAGGCCUACCAAGGCGACGAUCUGUAGCUGGUCUGAGAGGACGACCAGCCACACUGGGACUGAGACACGGCCCAGACUCCUACGGGAGGCAGCAGUGGGGAAUUUUGGACAAUGGGCGAAAGCCUGAUCCAGCAAUGCCGCGUGUGUGAUGAAGGCCUUCGGGUUGUAAAGCACUUUUGGCGGGAACGAAAAGGACUGUGCCAAUCCCACGGUUCGAUGACGGUACCCGCAGAAUAAGCACCGGCUAACUACGUG